CCUACGGGUGGCAGCAGUGAGGAAUAUUGGUCAAUGGCCGGAAGGCUGAACCAGCCAUGCCGCGUGAAGGACAGGGACCUAUGGGCGUUAAACUUCUUUUGUGCGGGAGCAAGAAUGGUCACGUGGGGCCAGACGAGAGUACCGUACGAAAAAGCAUCGGCGAACUACGGGCCAGCAGCCGCGGUAAUACGGGGGCUGCAAGCGUUAUCCGGAUUUAUUGGGUUUCAAGGGUGCGUAGAUGGGUUGUUAAGUCAGGUGGGAAAGUUUGCGGCUCAACCGGAAAAUUGCACUUGAUACUGGCAGUCUUGAGUUCAGUUGCGGUAGGCGGACUUCGUGGUGUAGCGGU
RNAcentral lists this ribosomal RNA (346 nucleotides) under uncultured bacterium. Its description in RNAcentral is "partial 16S ribosomal RNA". It matches the Rfam family "Bacterial small subunit ribosomal RNA", at positions 338 to 682 of the family's 1533-position model. The record is from RNAcentral.